This 676-nucleotide long non-coding RNA is filed under the name Ananas comosus (pineapple). RNAcentral describes it as "long non-coding RNA (ACOM_LNC036828)". The record is from RNAcentral. Lineage: Eukaryota; Viridiplantae; Streptophyta; Magnoliopsida; Poales; Bromeliaceae.
AUGAUGGAGCUUCCGAAUCGACGAUCCACUCCGUUAAAUAUGAUUUAGAGUAUUUGAAACUUCUAGAAAAUAAAUUUCGUAAAUUUUCGAAAUCAUAAUAAAGUCCAUCACGUGGGCAUAAAAUGAACGGUCAAAAUUGAAUGACGUUCUAAAAAAGGAUGAUCGGAUCCUUCAAUUCAAGAUCGGAGUUAUUGAUCUUUAUCUAUGUAGUGAAUAGAAUUUUUUCUAUCAAAAAUUCAACAAAUUCUAUUUCUUAUACAUCGUUAAACUAGCAAGUAUCUCAUACCGGCCGUUAAAAAUUGUCAAAUUUGUGACCUCUUGAUCGUAAGAUAAAUGAUGUCGAAAAAUUAUAAAAUUUGAUUCUAGAAGUUUUAAAUGCUGUAAAUAACGUUUAACGGUGUGGAUCGUCGAUUCGGAAGCUCUAUCAUCGAAAACAACUUAUGAGUACGAGGGCGAUGAUACUCAUAAUAAUAUAGUAGCCGGACCCUAUAUAUAUAUAUAUAUAUAUAUAUAUAUAUAUAGUGCGGCUAGGAUGCUUAUGGAAGCACGGAGGGCUCCGUGCUUCCACUUUGUUUUCGAUGUUCGGACUUUCGAAUCGACGAUCGGUUCCGUUAGACUUGAUUUAGAGUAUUUGAAGUAUCUAGAAAAUAAAUUUUGCGAUUUUUCGAUAUCAUUU